This is a long non-coding RNA of Schistocerca nitens (vagrant locust), 385 nucleotides long. RefSeq lists it as uncharacterized. The transcript has 3 exons. NCBI's taxonomy places the organism in Eukaryota, Metazoa, Arthropoda, Insecta, Orthoptera, Acrididae. The record is from RefSeq and is a predicted model, not a curated record.
GGAAACAUGAAGUGUUCAAAAAUAAUAAUAGUAUGUGUUAUAGGAGCAAUAUAUGUUGUUCAUUCGGUAGAGGCUCAAGCACGGAAAAAAAGAGGCUCUCAGUCUGGGAGAGAGGGUUCAACAACUGACUGAUAUGAAUCUCAAGAGAUCUGUCAUACGAUUCAAUGGAAACAGAUUUCGAGAUUUUGUUAAAGCAACGCCUCGAAAUUAUUCUGUAAUUGUCAUGUUUACAGCAAUGGCACCACAGAGACAAUGUGCAAUUUGCAGGCAUGCCAAUGAUGAAUUCCAAAUUGUUGCAAACUCUUUCCGUUAUUCACAGACCUAUUCGAAUAAGCUGUUCUUUGCCUUAGUAGAUUUUGAUGAAGGUCCAGAUGUGUUUCAAAUG